CAGCCGCCACGGUAAUACGUAGGGUGCGAGCGUUAAUCGGAAUUACUGGGCGUAAAGCGUGCGCAGGCGGUUAUAUAAGACAGAUGUGAAAUCCCCGGGCUCAACCUGGGACCUGCAUUUGUGACUGUAUAGCUAGAGUACGGUAGAGGGGGAUGGAAUUCCGCGUGUAGCAGUGAAAUGCGUAGAUAUGCGGAGGAACACCGAUGGCGAAGGCAAUCCCCUGGACCUGUACUGACGCUCAUGCACGAAAGCGUGGGGAGCAAACAGGAUUAGAUACCCCCGUAGUCCCUGUCUCUUAUAC
RNAcentral lists this ribosomal RNA (301 nucleotides) under uncultured bacterium. RNAcentral describes it as "partial 16S ribosomal RNA". It matches the Rfam family "Bacterial small subunit ribosomal RNA", at positions 509 to 807 of the family's 1533-position model. The record is from RNAcentral.